Salmo salar (Atlantic salmon) is the source of this 54-nucleotide non-coding RNA. Lineage: Eukaryota; Metazoa; Chordata; Actinopteri; Salmoniformes; Salmonidae. The record is from Rfam.
UGCAUUCACUACUGUAAGUCGCUCUGGAUAAGAGCAUCUGCUAAAUGUUCAAAU